RNAcentral lists this ribosomal RNA (253 nucleotides) under uncultured bacterium. Its description in RNAcentral is "partial 16S ribosomal RNA". It matches the Rfam family "Bacterial small subunit ribosomal RNA", at positions 524 to 776 of the family's 1533-position model. The record is from RNAcentral.
UACAGAGGGGGCAAGCGUUAUUCGGAAUUAUUGGGCGUAAAGGGCGCGUAGGCGGCUUUGCAAGUGACGGGUGAAAUCCCUCGGCUUAACCGAGGAACUGCCUGUCAAACUGCAUGGCUUGAGACCGGGAGAGGUGAGUGGAAUUCCCAGUGUAGCGGUGAAAUGCGUAGAUAUUGGGAGGAACACCAGUGGCGAAGGCGGCUCACUGGACCGGUACUGACGCUGAUCUGCGAAAGCUAGGGGAGCAAACAGG